CCUGAGCAGGGCCCCCAGGCCUGAGGCCCAGGAGUGACACCGAUGCCCAAACAGGCUAGCCCUGAGCAGGGCCCCCAGGCCUGAGGCCCAGGAGUGGACCACCUUUCUGACACCCAUUCUCUCUUUCUUUUCUAUCUGGAACUCUGGACACUGCCUGGAGGAAUCGGGCUUGCCCUAGGCCCAGGAAGACGGAAACAAAGAAGAGGCUCACAGACAGGAAGCAACUUGCCUAAAGACACACAGCACAGAUGAGAAAAUCGGUGCCCGCUGUUUCUGAAGACCAGCAACUGCUAGGACAGACUUCAAGGGAACCCGACCUUGCCUGAAGGACCAACAGCGCCCCCUGCAGGACACUUCCCUCCAUGGAGAGACGCCACAGGGGCCGGCCUGAGGCAUUCUGAGCGCGUGGAAUCCUCUAUCACCACCUCCUGGCAAAGAAUGGAGCUGCAACCCAGUUGUAUGAGACACCGAGAAUGAUCCCAACAAAAAGGAACAGUGACCUGAAUGCCUGGGGGAGGAACAGGGAGGGGAUACUAGGUGGAAGGAGGGGACAGGGAGAAGGUGUAACAUUUUGUAAAAAAGAACAUUUUUACUCCUAAUCAAUAUAUAAACAUCAUGCUCAGCAAA
This is a long non-coding RNA of Mandrillus leucophaeus (drill), 627 nucleotides long. RefSeq lists it as uncharacterized. The transcript has 2 exons. NCBI's taxonomy places the organism in Eukaryota, Metazoa, Chordata, Mammalia, Primates, Cercopithecidae. The record is from RefSeq and is a predicted model, not a curated record.